Molecule: ribosomal RNA, 425 nt
Filed under: uncultured bacterium
Lineage: Bacteria
Description: bacterial SSU rRNA
Rfam family: Bacterial small subunit ribosomal RNA
Source: RNAcentral
GUGGGGAAUAUUGGACAAUGGGCGCAAGCCUGAUCCAGCAAUGCCGCGUGAGUGAUGAAGGCCUUCGGGUCGUAAAGCUCUUUUACCCGGGAUGAUAAUGACAGUACCGGGAGAAUAAGCUCCGGCUAACUCCGUGCCAGCAGCCGCGGUAAUACGGAGGGAGCUAGCGUUGUUCGGAAUUACUGGGCGUAAAGCGCACGUAGGCGGUUACUCAAGUCAGAGGUGAAAGCCCGGGGCUCAACCCCGGAACUGCCUUUGAAACUAGGUGACUGGAAUCUUGGAGAGGCGAGUGGAAUUCCGAGUGUAGAGGUGAAAUUCGUAGAUAUUCGGAAGAACACCAGUGGCGAAGGCGACUCGCUGGACAAGUAUUGACGCUGAGGUGCGAAAGCGUGGGGAGCAAACAGGAUUAGAAACCCCAGUAGUCC